ACGAACGCUGNCGGCGUGGAUAAGACAUGCAAGUCGAACGGGGCUUAUAGCAAUAUAAGUUCAGUGGCGAACGGGUGCGUAACACGUGGGCAACUUGCCCUGGAGUGGGGGAUAGCCCGGGGAAACUCGGAUUAAUACCGCAUGUGAUAACUGGGAGGCAUUUUCUGGUUAUCAAAGCCGCAAGGCGCUCUAGGAUAGGCCCGCGUCCUAUCAGCUAGUUGGUGAGGUAAUGGCUCACCAAGGCGACGACGGGUAGCUGGUCUGAGAGGACGACCAGCCACACUGGAACUGAGACACGGUCCAGACACCUACGGGUGGCAGCAGUCGAGAAUCUUUCACAAUGGGGGCAACCCUGAUGGAGCGACGCCGCGUGGAGGAUGAAGGUCUUCGGAUUGUAAACUCCUGUCAAGUGGGAACAAAACCAGCAAUGGCGUGAUAGUACCACUAG
This 448-nucleotide ribosomal RNA is filed under the name uncultured Verrucomicrobiota bacterium. RNAcentral describes it as "bacterial SSU rRNA". It matches the Rfam family "Bacterial small subunit ribosomal RNA", at positions 29 to 484 of the family's 1533-position model. Lineage: Bacteria; Pseudomonadati; Verrucomicrobiota. The record is from RNAcentral.